This is a non-coding RNA of Callorhinus ursinus (northern fur seal), 918 nucleotides long. The record is from RefSeq and is a predicted model, not a curated record. Lineage: Eukaryota; Metazoa; Chordata; Mammalia; Carnivora; Otariidae.
CCUCUGCCACUCCCCCUGCUUGUGUUCCCUUUCUCGCUGAAGAGCUCUCUGAUGGGCUUCUACUACCUGGGCCUGCGCCCAGCUCCACAGUCUCUUGCUGUUCUUGUCUCCUCCACCUGUGCUUCAUUAACACCACAUUUCUGUGAUUUCUUGAUGGGACCCAUGCUAUCUCUGUUUUCUCUGGGAAUGUUCCGCACGUCCCUUUGUCCCUACCUCUCCUGGCCAACUCUCAUUCACCCUUUAGGAUACGGUGUGGGCAACAGCUCCUCCAGGAAGCCCUCCGGGAUUAUUCCGGGUUCUACUGUUUACUCCUACAUUAUCACAGACCUGAUAAUGCCCCAGAAGGGAGAAAUAGCAAAAGUCCAUUGAUCUUACAAUAAUUCAUCUCCAAAUGAUCGGGGGGCGGUGGGGAAGGACAGAGAAAGACAGGGAGACAUAGCCUUGGGAUAACGUGGGAGCCCCUGUUCACCAUUUCGCUCAGUGAGUACACACCAUCUUGCAAUGAUCUGUCUCUCCAUCAGGCACAGAGGUGUCCCUGGGCUUGCGGGCGGGGCGGUCUGUGGAGAGAAUCCCGAGGGUCCUAAACACAUACAUAUUGAUUUUCAUCAUUAUUUGCACUAACUCUAACUGAAAUUUGGCAGGUCCUCCAGUUACCGAUGUAGGCACCAGACUGUAGGGGGAUUUGCGAGACCUGAGACUGACACCCAUGGAAAUUAGAUAUUUUCCUAUCACACUGCUCUGGUAGCAGAUGCUCAAAAUAUUAUUUAUACUUGUCACUACUUCAAAAUUACGGUAGUUAUUAGACCUGCAGCCAAAUCCAGUUACUUAAUGUGUUAAUAAAGAUGCAAACGCAUUAUUACUCCACACACUUGUUAUGUUUAUAUAUAUUUUGAUAGCUACACUUUAAUGUAACUGCUU